RNAcentral lists this ribosomal RNA (454 nucleotides) under uncultured organism. RNAcentral describes it as "partial 16S ribosomal RNA". It matches the Rfam family "Bacterial small subunit ribosomal RNA", at positions 332 to 797 of the family's 1533-position model. The record is from RNAcentral.
UACACUCCUACGGGAGGCAGCAGUGGGGAAUAUUGCCCAAUGGGCGGAAGCCUGAUGCAGCAACGCCGCGUGCGGGAUGACGGCCUUCGGGUUGUAAACCGCUUUCGCCUGUGACGAAGCGUGAGUGACGGUAAUGGGUAAAGAAGCACCGGCUAACUACGUGCCAGCAGCCGCGGUGAUACGUAGGGUGCGAGCGUUGUCCGGAUUUAUUGGGCGUAAAGGGCUCGUAGGUGGUUGAUCGCGUCGGAAGUGUAAUCUUGGGGCUUAACCCUGAGCGUGCUUUCGAUACGGGUUGACUUGAGGAAGGUAGGGGAGAAUGGAAUUCCUGGUGGAGCGGUGGAAUGCGCAGAUAUCAGGAGGAACACCAGUGGCGAAGGCGGUUCUCUGGGCCUUUCCUGACGCUGAGGAGCGAAAGCGUGGGGAGCGAACAGGCUUAGAUACCCCGGUAGUCCCA